CGCUGGCGGCAGGCUUACACAUGCAAGUCGAACGCUCGUAGCAAUACGGGAGUGGCAGACGGGUGAGUAACGCGUGGGAACAUACCCUCCGGUUCGGAAUAGCUCAGGGAAACUUGGAUUAAUACCGGAUACGGCUGAGAGGCGAAAGAUUUAUCGCCGGAGGAUUGGCCCGCGUUCGAUUAGCUUGUUGGUGAGGUAAUGGCUCACCAAGGCGAUGAUCGAUAGCUGGUCUGAGAGGAUGAUCAGCCACAUUGGGACUGAGACACGGCCCAAACUCCUACGGGAGGCAGCAGUGGGGAAUAUUGGACAAUGGGCGCAAGCCUGAUCCAGCCAUGCCGCGUGAGUGAUGACGGCCUUAGGGUUGUAAAGCUCUUUCGCUCGGGACGAUAAUGACGGUACCGAGAUAAGAAGCCCCGGCUAACUUCGUGCCAGCAGCCGCGGUAAUACGAAGGGGGCUAGCGUUGUUCGGAAUUACUGGGCGUAAAGCGCGUGUAGGCGGGUCUUUAAGUCAGGGGUGAAAUGCCAGGGCUCAACCUUGGAACUGGCUUUGAUACUGGAGACCUUGAGUCCGGGAGAGGUGAGUGGAAUUGCGAGUGUAAAGGUGAAAUUCGUAGAUAUUCGCAAGAACACCAGUGGCG
RNAcentral lists this ribosomal RNA (638 nucleotides) under uncultured bacterium. RNAcentral describes it as "bacterial SSU rRNA". It matches the Rfam family "Bacterial small subunit ribosomal RNA", at positions 34 to 717 of the family's 1533-position model. The record is from RNAcentral.